UAUUUUUUUUUCUUUUCUUUUUCUUUGAACUUCCAGAGAAGUGAACUUUUGUGAUCAUGGAGGUAGAGAUUGAUCAAGCUCCUUCUAGAAAUCCGAGAAAUGCAACUCUAGAACGAAAUGGAGUGGUGAUUCAAAGUACUGGUUCUGAUUCUAUGAGUCUGCAGAAUUCAGAUAACCCAGGUAUGGUCCUAGUUACUGCUCCGUUGAUAGGUAGCAAUAAUAGAUCUUGGAGUAGGGCAAUGAGAAUUACUCUAGGUGCUAAACAGAAAUUGGGAUUUAUAGAUGGAAGUGUUAGGGUUCCUGAUGAAAAUACGAAUGAGUACGAGAUUUAGAGGAAGUGUGAUUUUAUGGUGACUUCUUGGGUAUUGAAUUCCUUAUCCAAGGAGUUGGUUGAGGCCUUUAUAUACACAACAUCUGCCAAAGAGUUGUGGGAUGAAAUUGGGAAAAGAUAUGGAGAGAAAUAGUCCUCUCAUCUUUCAGAUUUAGAAGAAAAUUAGUUCUAUGGUACAAGAGAAUAUGUCAGUUUCUGUCUAUUUCACAAAAUUGAAGAAGCUUUGGGAUGAAUUAGCUAGUGUAGAGCCACUUCCAGCAUGUACAUAUGGUGCUUCCAAAGAAAUUGCCGAGAUUGAUAAUAGAGGGAAGUUAAUGCAGUUUUUGAUGGGUUUGAAUGGUGAUUUUGAUCAAGCUAGAAACCAGAUUUUACUAUCGGAUACUUUACCUUCAAUCAACAAAGCAUAUUCUAUGAUGUUGAAAGUAGAGACACAUAAACAAGUUAUGAGUUCUUACGUUGCACCAAUUGAAUCUGUGGCUUUACAAGCUCAAUCACAAGGUUUUAAGAAAGAUCAAAGAAGAAAUGACAGGAGGAAGGGUCAUUGUGACUACUGUCAACAAGAUGGACAUGUUCGAGACACCUGUUUCAAACUAAUUGGGUACCCUGAUUGGUACAAAAACAAAAAGCACACAGGCAUUUCUACUAGUAAUUUUCAGCAGUCAAAGCAUCCCUAUAACGCAUCUGCUAAACAUGCUACUACUUAUGUAGCUGAGACUCCUAUUGAUAGAGAAGUUUUGGUAAUGCUUGAUAACUCUGAUAGGAUUGGAGAGAUAAGUGCCAUGCUUGGUAAUUUGCAGCAGGAAGUUCAAAGAAUGAUGAAAGGCAAAGCUCUGAUAGUUGCUUCAGCUGUUUCUCAGCAGCAUGUGAAUCAAUACACAGGGAAUUAUUCAGGGCUUCAUGAUACUCACUUUGCUAGUAACUCUAGCUAUUCUAGUAGACGUAAUGCAAGUAAAUAUGUGGAUUGUGUUUGGAUCAUUGACACAGGUGCCACUGAUCAUAUGACACCACAUCACACAUUUUUUACAACCUUUACCUUCCUUGAUUCCCCAAUUUCAGUUCAAUUACCUAAUGGCAAUUCAUGUCAAGUUAACAAAUUUGGAACUGUUUAUGUUUCAUCCUCUCUUACUUUAUAUGAUACUUUGUUUGUUCCCAACUUUCAUUAUAAUUUGUUAUUUGUUCCAAAAUUACUCUCACGAUAAAAAUGACAAUUUUAUUUACCGAUUCCUAUUGUAUUUUUCAGGACCUGAGGACUGAUAAGGUAGUAGCUGUGGGGAGAGUGACACAAGGCCUUUAUACAUUGGAUUCAUCUAGUUUUUUGUCUUCUACAAUAAAACAGUGUUUGUCUAGUAUUUCCCUCUUCAAUACUAUGAUUCCUUUGAAUAAUGACAAUCAUGUUUAAUCUCAUUCUUGUCAAUUUUCUUAAAGUGAUUACUCUCUGUUACAUGCCAGAUUAGGGCAUGCUUCUAUCAAUAAAAUCAAACAAAUUACUGGUUAUCCUUUCUCUAAACAUGACUGCUUGAUUUGUCCACUAGCUAAGCACCAUCACAUGCCUUUUUCCAGAUAGUCUUUCUUAUGCAAAACAUCUUUUUGAUUUAUUGCAUAUUGAUGUUUGGGGACCAUAUAGAACUACAUCAAUAACAGAGGCCAAUUAUUUCCUAACUAUUGUGGAUGAUCAUAGCAAAGCAACCUGGACCUACAUGUUACAUUCCAAAAGUCAAACCUUUAGCACUCUAAAACAGUUUGUCCAAUAUGUUGAAACUCAAUAUAAUACAUCUGUUAAAGUCAUUAGGACUGAUAAUGGGGGAGAGUUUGUCAAUACUCAGUCUAAAUAAUUUUUUGCUCUCAAAGGGAUUGACCAUCAACAUACUUGUCCAUACACUCCUCAACAAAAUGGAGUUGUAGAACUUAAGCAUAGACAUUUGUUGGAUAUUGCUAGAGCUAUGAAACUUCAAGCUUAUGUUCCUGAUGAGUUUUGGUCAGAGUGCAUCUUAACUGCCACAUACAUUGUUCAUAGACUUCCUGUCAAGAAGUUAGGAGGUAAAACACCUUAUGAAAUCAUACACCAUAAGCCACCAACAUAUGAUUCCUUGAGAACCUUUGGUUAUUUGUGUUUUGCAACAAAUUUGUCACCCUCUAAGAGUAAGUUUUCACAAAGAUCCAUCAAAGCUUUGUUCAUGGGUUAUUCUUUGACCAAUAAAGCUUAUAAGUUGUAUGAUUAGAAGUGAAUUCUUUUUUUGUCAGUAGAGAUGUUUUGUUCUAUGAGAAUGUUUUUCCUUUUCAGUUUUUUUCUUCUGUCGAUUCUCCUUCUCUUCCUAUUCUUAUAUUAGAGUCUUCUUUGCCAUCUUAGAACUUUGCACCUCAUGUAGAUAACAUUUCUAAUUCUCCUGAUGUGUCUCUUUCUACCCCUAUUCCUUCUUCUUCACAUCCUUCUUCCCUCGUUGUUUCUGCACCUUUCAUACCUUCUCUUCCUCGAAGGAAAUCCACUAGACAUAUUACUAAACCUUCUUGGCUAAAUGAUUUUGUGCAUAUGGCAGUGACACACUCCUCUUCUACUGCUACAUCAGAUCAGUCCAGCUUAGGUAUAUUUUUUUCACCCAUUGCUUUUAACCCAGCUUAUAUAUCCUUUGUACAUAAUGUGUCAACUGUAUUUAAACCAACCACAUAUUUUUAGGCAUCUACUGAUGCUUGGUGGUUAGAAGCUAUGCAACAAGAAUUGCAAGCCCUUGAAAAAAAUGAGACUUGGGUGUUGACUGAGCUUCCUAAAGGAAAAAAACAAAUUGGAUCAAAGCGGGUGUACAAGGUUAAAUUUAAGCCCUCUGGUGAAGUGGAUAGACUGAAAGCUAGGUUAGUAGUUAAGGGGUGUAAUCAAAUUGAGGGUGUUGAUUAUAAGGAUAGAUUUUCUCCAGUUGCAAAAAUGGGUACUGUUAGAAUUUUUAUAGCUCUUGCUACUGCUAAGUGUUGGCCUAUUUUUCAACUUGACAUUAAUAAUGUAUUUUUGCAUGGUUUCUUAGAUGAAGAGGUGCAUAUGUCACCACCUCCAGGCUAUGAUAAAGCCUUACCUGGUCAGGUUUGCUUACUCAAACGGUCCCUUUAUGGUCUCAAGCAAGCAUCUCAGCAAUAGAACAUUGAAUUUACAGCUUGUCUUCAUUCAUUGGGAUUUAUUCAAUCUCAAAAUAAUCAUUGUUUAUUUACAAGAUCUGUGGAUGAAGAAUUUUUUGGCUUUACUCAUAUAUGUUGAUGAUGUGAUAGUUACAGGCACUUCCAUAACUGCUAUUACUUCCGUCAAAAAGGCACUUCAUGAUAAGUUCACAAUUAAAGAUCUUGGUCCCCUUAAGUGUUUCCUUGAUCUUGAAGUGGCGUGUUCAGAUACGGGCACUAUUGUCAGUCAAAGAAAAUUUAUUUUGGAUCUAAUUCAAAACACUGGUUUGUCUAAUGCCAAAGCUGUUACUAGUCCUUUACCUACUACCUUGCAUCUUUCUCCUGACACGGGGGAUUUUUUGCCUGAUCCGAAUCAGUAUAGAAGAUUGGUGGGACGCCUAUUGUAUGUUAAUCUUACAAGGCCAGAUAUCAACUAUGCGGUUCAACACCUUAGUCAGUUUAUGUCUGCUCCUCGAAUGCCUCAUUGGAUAGCAGCUCUUCAUGUUGUCAAAUACCUAAAGUCUUGUCCCUCUAAAGGUUUAUUUUUUCCUGUCUCUAACGAUCUUCAAUUGUCCGCUUUUUGUGAUGCAGAUUGAGCUUCCUGCACAUUUAGUAGAAAGUCAUUAACUGGCUAUUGUGUAUUCUUUGGGGGUGCUCUUAUUUCUUGGAAAACUAAGAAGCAGGCCACCGUUUCCAAAUCAUCUGCUGAGGCGGAGUAUCGUGCCAUGGCUGCUACUGUUUGUGAGCUCUUGUGGAUCACUUGUGUGCUUUGUGAUUUUCAAGUUUCUGUUACGCUUCCCAUCCCUCUCUACUGUGACAAUAAGGCAGCAUUACACAUUGCUAGUAAUCCAGUCUUCCAUGAGCGCACCAAGCAUUUGGAGAUAGAUUGCCAUAUUGUCCGAGAUCAAUUACAAAAGAGCUUUGUGAUUCCAUCUUAUGUUUCUUCAGUCACUCAGCUGGCUGAUGUGUUUACUAAGCCUUUGUGUACUCCUGCUCAUUCUCGUUUAAAUUCCAAGUUGUCUCUAGUGGACAUCCUUCCAACAGAUCCAACAGGG
This 4524-nucleotide unclassified non-coding RNA is filed under the name Hevea brasiliensis (rubber tree). The record is from RNAcentral. Lineage: Eukaryota; Viridiplantae; Streptophyta; Magnoliopsida; Malpighiales; Euphorbiaceae.